This 329-nucleotide ribosomal RNA is filed under the name uncultured eukaryote. RNAcentral's name for it is "partial 18S ribosomal RNA". It matches the Rfam family "Eukaryotic small subunit ribosomal RNA", at positions 1470 to 1796 of the family's 1831-position model. The record is from RNAcentral.
CCCUUAGAUGUUCUGGGCCACACGCGCGCUACACUGACGAUGGCAACGAGUUUUUCCUUCGCCGAAAGGUGUGGGUAAUCUUUUGAAACAUCGUCGUGCUGGGGAUAGAUCAUUGCAAUUUUUGAUCUUGAACGAGGAAUUCCUAGUAAGCGCGAGUCAUCAGCUCGCGUUGAUUACGUCCCUGCCCUUUGUACACACCGCCCGUCGCUACUACCGGUUGAAUGGUUUAGUGAGGACUCCUGAUUGGCGCCGCCGCCCCGGCAACGGAGCAGCGGACUGCCGAAAAGUUGUUCAAACUUGAUCAUUUAGAGGAAGUAAAAGUCGUAACA